GAAGCCACCGCUGGGGCGGGGCAGAAGCUGGAGGGCGGAGGUUGACGCGGAGUCGCUGCUGGUUCGAAUGUACAGAAAAGCCUGCGCCAGUUUGAGUUCGGUGGGAACGCCGGUGCUAUGGAUCCUCGGUACCGCCCUGUCCCACUGUUGUUGCGCCUUUAUUCCCUGGUUUCUUCAACAAACAUUUAUCGAGCGGUUGCGGUGAUAGUCCUUGGAGAGUGCUUUGCUGCGUGCUGGGGAACUCCAGAGUUGAUUAUCCUGGUCCAGCCGGAGUUUACAUCGUUGGGGAUGGCUGACCUACAGAAAACAGCUGUUUAAUCAUCUCCUCCAAUCGAAAUCAGUGUCCUUUUCACCAAAUAAAAUAAUCUCCCUGCUCUCGUGAAGGGAGGCCGCACUCAGGAGCCAGAGGCGUUUAUUUGCCUAGUAGGAAGAAUGUGCCAAAACGGCCCCACCGGGGGCAUAGGAAGUUGAGUGGGAGCUGCAGCUGCCAGCCUAUACCACAGCCACAGCAAGGCCAGAUCCAAGCCAUGUCUGCCAUCUACACCACAGCUCAUGGCAACAAUGCUGGAUCCUUAACCCACUGAAAGAGGCCAGGGGUCAAACCAGAGUCCUCAUGGACACUAGUUGGAUUUGUUACCACUGAGCCACAGUGGAACUCCCUCUUCUCCCUGAUUUUUAGCUUGCAGACCUUGAAACCUGCAUUUUCCUCUUAGAGUAGCUGCCUCCUCCUGGGCUUAUAUCCUUCCUACUCAUGCUAAUGCCUUGCUUGGACACUCAGCAUGUUCAACAUCUUUGCUUCUUACCCACCACUGUAUCCACUGUUCAAAUUAACAACCCUGGAUCCAUCCUGUGGUAUAUUUUCUUGGAUGUUGUGACUGGCUUGAAACAGGUACAAUAUAUAUUCAAUGAACACUAAGGAGGCUGUUCUGUUGGAGAAUAGCACAGAUUGAUAUGUAAUAACAGCACAGAUUGAUGCUGUAAUAAAUUCUUGGUUUUAGUAUCAGUUUGGGUUCUCAGCUUCUUUCACCUCCCUUCUUCCAGUUAGGAACUCUGGAUCUAUGAACUGACAGGAAAGUUACAAUGCUGGAUCCUUUAACUGCUAGGCCACCAGGGAACUCCUAGACUUUCUCUGAUUUUUUUUUUUUUUUUUUGUCUUUUUAGGGCCACUCCCUCAGCAUAUGGAAGUUCUCGAGCUACGGGUCCAAUCAGAGCCAGAGCUGCCAGCGUACGCCACAGCCAUAGCAAUACCAGACCCAAGCUACAUCUGACCUACACCACAGCUCACAGCAACGCUGGAUCCUUAAACCACUGAGCGAGGCCAGGGAUCAAACUUGCAUCCUCACAGAUACUAGUCAGGUUCAUUUCCACAGAGCCACAGUGGGAACUCUCUCCAAUUUUUUAGAUAAAGCCAUACCUUGGUGGAGGCUGUCCAUCUAUUUUAUUCUUGGGAACUUUAUGAUCAACUAGAAACUGCCAGAGACCCUGAGAGGCUAAAUGCUCCAAUGGCCAUUCUGCCCUGUGCUUUAUUAUGUUAAUUGUGCCCACUUUGUCCCUGCUGGUCCUUGCUGGUCAGGUGCCACCACCUGACCUCUACCACACAGGGGACCCAUUAUUCCCACUGAAAUCAGGAUACCCAAUUCAAUGGCAGUAUCUCCCAGUAACAUCUCUGGCCUACAGAGGACAGUCAGAUGAUUUUUAUGGAUGCUGGUGCUCCCUUCACUAAAGCAUUCCUGGGCCUCCUGGGUUGUACAGUAGGGGUUGGCUGGGCUGGGUGCACAUAGUGAAUUAACACCAACAUUCCCAUCUCACUAAGCCAUCAAACUCCUCUAACAUAUGCUAGGAAAAUUUCAGCAUCUCAACCUGGGCCGUCUAGGAACCAGGUUUCAAUCAGCUGUACAAGCAAACCCUUAGCACCAUUUGGUACCCUAACAGCCAUUUCAGGACCAAAGCAAAAGAGAGAGCUGCAGCUAUGGUAACAGAUCCAAUUGCAUCCAAAAUGUCUGUGAUGAAUAGGGAUAUUGUAUGCAGCCCCUGACAACGCCUAUUGGAGCAAGACAUAUCCAUUUGACAGGCAGUUCCUUGGCUGCUACUGGAUAUGUUGAAUCUAGAAUUCUUGGCAAGUGCACUCAUAUUGAUCAGUUUCGUCCUCUCUAAUUUUAUAAUCCAUCCUAUUUGGUCAAUGCCUUUAUUGUCCAUUCCAAGGAUCUUGUGGCUGUGAGUUGGUAGAAUCCUGCAACUCCUUUGGAAUAUACUUUUUCUCUUCCUGAAUUAGGUUUUGUGAUUCACUCUUUAGGUUGUAUAGGAAUUUCUUUUCCUAAAAAAAAAAAAAAAAGUUUUACUUGGAAAUAAUUUCAAACUCACAGAAACAUUACAGGAAUAAAAAUAGGAUAAAAAUUAUCCAUACACCUGUUAGGGGUUGAAUUGUAUCCCCAAAAUAGAUAUGUUGAAAUCAUAACCUUGAUACCAUGGAGUGGAACCUUAUUUCGAAAUAGGGUCUUUACAGAGAUGAUCAGGUUUUUCGCUUAAGGUCUUUAGCUUAGGCCCUAAUCCAAUAUGACUGGUGUCCUUAAUGCAAAGGGGAAAUGUGAGCACAGAGAAACACGCAGGGAAAAUGGCACAGGAACAUGAAAAUGGAGAUGAGUGAUGUGUCUACGUCUAAAAGCCAAGGAACGAAAGGUUUACAGCAAAGCGCCAGCAGCUUUUGCAGGAGAGAGCCCUGGAACAAUUUUCCCAUCACAGCCUCAGGAGGAACCUUGAUCUUGGACUUCCAGCCUCCAGGGCUGGGAGACAGUACAUUUCUGAGGUUUAAGCCAUGCCAAGUGUGUAGUACUUUGUUGGCAGCCUUGGCAAGCUAAUGCAUACUGCUUACCCACGUUCGUUAACUGUUAACAUUUUGUAUCACUUGCGUGGAUUUUCUCUCAAUAAAUAUGUGCAUAAUAUAUAUUUUACUGAACAAUUUAUGAGUAAAUUGUAUAUGUUGUGACCCUUUAUUCCUAAAUAUUUCAGGGUAUGUUUUCUAAGAAUAAGGAUAUUCUCUUAUGUAGACACCACAGUGCAGUGAUCAACUUCAGUACAUUUAACCUUAAUAAAAUCGUUUCAUUUACUCU
RNAcentral lists this long non-coding RNA (3107 nucleotides) under Sus scrofa (pig). RNAcentral describes it as "lncRNA (ENSSSCG00035031507.1)". The record is from RNAcentral. Lineage: Eukaryota; Metazoa; Chordata; Mammalia; Artiodactyla; Suidae.